RNAcentral lists this ribosomal RNA (492 nucleotides) under uncultured bacterium. RNAcentral describes it as "partial 16S ribosomal RNA". It matches the Rfam family "Bacterial small subunit ribosomal RNA", at positions 29 to 507 of the family's 1533-position model. The record is from RNAcentral.
AGUGAACGCUGGCGGUAGGCCUAACACAUGCAAGUCGAACGGCAGCACAGUAAGAGCUUGCUCUUACGGGUGGCGAGUGGCGGACGGGUGAGGAAUACAUCGGAAUCUACUUUUUCGUGGGGGAUAACGUAGGGAAACUUACGCUAAUACCGCAUACGACCUACGGGUGAAAGCAGGGGAUCUUCGGACCUUGCGCGAUUGAAUGAGCCGAUGUCGGAUUAGCUAGUUGGCGGGGUAAAGGCCCACCAAGGCGACGAUCCGUAGCUGGUCUGAGAGGAUGAUCAGCCACACUGGAACUGAGCCACGGUCCAGACUCCUACGGGAGGCAGCAGUGGGGAAUAUUGGCCAAUGGGCGCAAGCCUGAUCCAGCCAUACCGCGUGGGUGAAGAAGGCCUUCGGGUUGUAAAGCCCUUUUGUUGGGAAAGAAAAGCAGCAGGUUAAUACCCCGCUGUUCUGACGGUACCCAAAGAAUAAGCACCGGCUAACUUCGUG